ACUUAUUCUUUUGCAAGAAUAAAUAUCAGAAUGGAGGAAAGCUUGACACCUAGCCUUAUCAUUGCUCUCAAAAUUAAAGUUACCGUGUAAUUCAUGUUCCUCCAGCAAGUACCUAGCCUUGUUGUCGGCUAUUCUAGGCAUUCUCUUCUUUUUUUUUCUUUUUCAGAUGAGAAACAGGUUUUACCUCCUCAUUGCUGCUGUCCUCUGCUGCCUGUGUUGGACCGUCGUGUCUUUCCCACUGUGGUUGGAGGUUGUGUCCUCGCUAUUGCUUUCAGUAGAGGCCUCCAAGAUCAAUGUGGUAGUCUUUGGUUGCUUUUUUCGAUCCUAUGGUUAUUUCAGAAUUUCUAGCUUGACCUCUCAUUCAUCAUCCUCAUAGAUGGGGGUUUUACCUUUCAUCUGCGAGCGAGUGGCUCUCUUCAUUGUGACUAGAGAAGAAAUUGCCGCUAGUGUCGAGGUUGCUAUUUGCGAUGGUACCGUCGGUGUUUUCGUCGCUUUUCCAGUGGGCUACUUUUCUGUUGAUGGUGUCGCCACAAGGUCCGACGAAUCUUGGCAGCAUCAUGUGGAUGAGGGCGCAGUAGCCAUCAUCGCGUCAGAGCUGUCUUUGAUGCAUUGGUGCUUCCCCAUUGUCGUUCUUGCAAAAGAGAGAGAGAGAGAGAGAGAGAGAGAGAA
Molecule: long non-coding RNA, 669 nt
Filed under: Manihot esculenta (cassava)
Lineage: Eukaryota; Viridiplantae; Streptophyta; Magnoliopsida; Malpighiales; Euphorbiaceae
Description: long non-coding RNA (MESC_LNC009255)
Source: RNAcentral